CGACCACUGCAAACUGAACGCUUCUUCUUCCUCCUCCACUCCACGCACAGUAACGCCACCGCAAUCACUCCAGGCGCCAUGACUCCGCCCCUGCCCCUUCCGUUUUUCCCCAAUCAAGGGCUCUACUUCAAUCCCCUGCAUUCCCCCCUAUUUAAAUCUCCUCUCCCCCUGCAGCUAGUUCUUUUCUCCUCCCCUCUACAAGCAGAUCCUGCCACAACCUAGGGCACCGUCGAUGCCAGUCCUUCUGUCUGUCGCUGGACAGAGUACUAUGAAGAAGAAGACGUUGACGACGACUACUACGGUGAACCUGAGGAGUGAGGCCUCGUGUGCUACAUCGACUGCCUGUGGCUGAGAUGGAGGCACCACGCGUCGUUUAUUGUUUUCCGCUGCUAUUUCAGACUUGUAAUAAUAAUGCCCCAAGACAUUGCUUUAUAUAAGCCGAAGGGCAUUUUACUAUUCAAACUUUAUAUUAACUUUUGAACUGUCGUGCAAUGAGAUACAUUUCGCAUGUACAUUAGCAUUCCUGGGCUAGUGUUACAAGGGGUCCGGGAGUUUGUUUCCCGGUUCCCACGGCGGAGGAGUUCGGAUUCGGCCAGGCUGGCGGCCUCCGCUUCCCUGCCGCGAGGAGGAUUUCCUCGCCAUCGUCGCCUAGCUCGAUUCUGCCCAGUAGUGCACCGCUCGCCCUGCUCGCUCCACCUCUCGUUGCCACGCGCGCUGCCGAAAUCCGACGGAAGCAUAGGUAGGGAAGUCAGGGAGGGACAUAGGGAGGAGGCUGCGCGCACAGGGUAGGAGGGCGGCGGCGGAGCGCGCAGGGGAAGGAGAGGGCAGCGUCGGCUGCAUCUGCAGUGAGGGAGGGCGGCGACAGCGGUUGUGUGGAGAGCGAGACGCGGGCUGGGGAGAAGGGAAAAAAACACUUCGGCAAAGAAGCACAGCGAUCGGGGAGGGCGGACGUAUUGCGACUGUGUAACAUCGCCAACAACUCUAAUUUAAUAUAUUGGUAUAGAUUCGUUACUCUGGUCAUCUACAUUUGCACUUGGUGCUUUAAUAUACUCUUGCACAUUCUGUAUUUCAACUCAAAAGGUCAGCAGCCUAUCCGUUCUGGCGGAGCUCGCAGAUAUAUAUAGUGCUGGGGCAUGAUCAACAUCAGUAUCUAGUUGUAAUCUGAUUGUUAUAAUUAUUUACAAUCUUCCUGGCCUUUCUGUUGGUGUUGGCAGCGAGUGAUGUUAAUUUCUGACAAGUAUAUUUCAUUUGUUCAGAUAAUGUGAUAGUGCAUCUAUUCAACACCUCCAGUUAAGAAAAAUGAUACUCUCUCCGUUUCAUAAUUCUUGUCGAAAUAUUACAUGUAUCUAGACAUUUUUUUAAGAAUAGAUACAUUUAUUUUUAGCAAAUUUGAGAGAACAAUUAUGAAACGGAGGUAGUAUUUUUUUUUUUGCAAGGGUAAGAAUAUAUUAAUCAGGAGCAUAAAAAUCAUCCCGUAUCUAUUAUAUACCAAAAGUACAUGACAGAAAAACCACAAAAAAGAUAGAAGCUCUAGAAAGUCUAUAUCUACUAGUAGGUGUGCCCGUGCAUUGCUACGGAACCCGGUGGCUGGAAUCAGCUGCAAGAGGGUGCGCAGGUGGUUGGCGAAGGCUAGGAAGGUCGGGACGCUUAGGGCGCUGGGGGAUGCGGUCAUGCGCCUGCACCGGGUUGCGAGGUCUAGUGAGGAGUUGACGCGGCGGGCAGAAUGGAGCAAGCAACUCAUGGCGCCGUCAAGGUCGGCCGUCUCCCACGAGUCUGGCGGUGGAGGUGGUGGGAGAACAGGUGAAGCGGGCGGCGAUGUGAUGGUUUUGCUCGGAGUGCUGUGACGUCGAUUGGCAUCGGUUGUAGGACGGAGAAGGAGAAAUUGGGCUGGGGGUGGAGGGGGAGGCUCGGGCAUGGGCUCACGCCGGCACGGUGGCGUCGGUCGUAAGGUGGAGGAGGAAUGGUGAAUAAGACGGGAAGUAGAGAAAAUAACGUAAAAUGGCAUAUUUGUUGUAAUUUUAACAAAGUUGACCUACCGCGUCCGUACCAAUCACCACCCACUCCAAUUUAAUAGAUAAUAAUGGGAUGGAGGGGAGGCUCGGGCAUGGACUCAUGCGGGCGAGGUGACAUCGGUCGUAAGGUGGAGGAGGAGGAGUAGGACUGGAAGGAGAGAAAAUUACGGAAAUUGGCAUUAUUUGUUUUCGGCGUUCGUCAAGCCCUUCUGUCCUCCCCCGCCUCCCCCUCGUGGCCUCGUGUCCCCGGAUCUCUCAACCCGACUUCUUCCCGUUCCCUUCCCCUCCUCGCCGUCGCCGUCUCCGCCAAGGCCCCAUCAACGGAGGCUGCAGUCGCCGGAGUCCUACCUCCCCCUCCGCCCCCAGCGCCACCUCCUUUCCCCCGCCGACGCCUCCUUCCCCUGUUGUCGCCCUUCUCGCGAGGAGGAAAGAAGAGGAGAGCUUAGAUCGGAGGAGAAGAGAUGGAGAGGGCCAAACCCCCCGCCUCUCUCCCUCUUGCUCCUUCCCUCUGCUCCUCCCUCUCUCCCUCCCUCUUGCUCCUUCCAUCUGCGGCUCCCUCUCCCUCCCUCUUGCUCCUUCCAUCUGCUCCUCCCUCUCUCCCUGCUCGUUUAAUCAUCUGCUGCAGGCCGCCGCCCGACCACGCCUCCCGCCGCGCCUUCCCUCUCUCCUCUGGUCAAGAGUGAAGCAACAGCCAACCAUAAUGUUGUCGAGGAGCAGAAGAUUGCCCCCCCCCCCCCCCCCCCCCCCCCAUCCAAAAAAAAGGACACUAUGCUUUUGGUAUUUUGAGUGGACCGUUAUUACAACAUCUGAAAUACAUGCCCUUGUGUGCCUGUCCAACUGUUCCCGUAAUUUGUGGCUCGCGGACGUGGUGAUCUCAGGUGGGCUGAGUAGAGGAAGAAGAGAUGGAGCAGCAGCUGUUGGUGAGGAAGAAGCUGGCAGUGGAGAUGAAGUAGAGCAGCAGCACACAGACUGUUAUUUAAUUAGGAUCAUCUUCAUUGGGAGGAUCAGUGAGUGGAUUGAUUUGGACUCUGAGGACGAGAAGCUCCGGCUGAACACGGAGCUCAAACUCAAGCAGGAGAUUGCCUGGGCGUCCAUCACAUAAUCUGAAGCUAUUUGAAGAGGAGAUGACAAUGAGGUCAAGCUUGGUCUUAGAGAUUGAUAAUGUUCUUUGUACAACAAGAGUAUCUUGGCUGACGAGGUACGGCACGGAGCUUAUUUCGGCAUACUUCGUCGUGCUCGUCCUUGCAGUUACCUCGACGCUCAGGUGUGCAGGAUGACCUGGAGCCUUCGCUCAUAGAUUUCUUCUUCUUCUUAGAUUAUUUUUCGAGAUAUUCUGUACUUGUGUCUUCAGGUAAUAUGGAUUUUCUUCAGAUGUUUUGAUUAUGUAUUUGCAGUUCAUGUUAAUCAGCGAGAGUCAAUGAACGUGUCUGAUACUAACUGCAGCUUGAAGUUCCAAUCUUCCAUGAUUUUUCAUGCAUGCUCCA
RNA transcript from Brachypodium distachyon (stiff brome), 3496 nucleotides. RefSeq lists it as uncharacterized. The transcript is spliced from 6 exons. Lineage: Eukaryota; Viridiplantae; Streptophyta; Magnoliopsida; Poales; Poaceae. The record is from RefSeq and is a predicted model, not a curated record.